RNAcentral lists this ribosomal RNA (253 nucleotides) under uncultured bacterium. RNAcentral's name for it is "partial 16S ribosomal RNA". It matches the Rfam family "Bacterial small subunit ribosomal RNA", at positions 524 to 776 of the family's 1533-position model. The record is from RNAcentral.
UACGGAGGGUGCGAGCGUUAAUCGGAAUAACUGGGCGUAAAGCGUGCGCAGGCGGGUUUUUAAGUCAGAGGUGAAAUCCCCGGGCUCAACCUGGGAAUUGCCUUUCAGACUGCGAGUCUAGAGUACUUUAGAGAGGGAUGGAAUUCCACGUGUAGCGGUGAAAUGCGUAGAGAUGUGGAGGAAUACCGAAGGCGAAGGCAACCCCCUGGGAAUGUACUGACGCUCAUGUGCGAAAGCGUGGGGAGCAAACAGG